UUCCAGACUCCUACGGGAGGCAGCAGUGGGGAAUAUUGCACAAUGGGGGAAACCCUGAUGCAGCGACGCCGCGUGAGCGAUGAAGUAUUUCGGUAUGUAAAGCUCUAUCAGCAGGGAAGAAGAUGACGGUACCUGACUAAGAAGCCCCGGCUAACUACGUGCCAGCAGCCGCGGUAAUACGUAGGGGGCAAGCGUUAUCCGGAUUUACUGGGUGUAAAGGGAGCGUAGACGGCGAUGCAAGCCAGAUGUGAAAGCCCGGGGCUCAACCCCGGGACUGCAUUUGGAACUGUGUGGCUGGAGUGUCGGAGAGGCAGGCGGAAUUCCUAGUGUAGCGGUGAAAUGCGUAGAUAUUAGGAGGAACACCAGUGGCGAAGGCGGCCUGCUGGACGAUGACUGACGUUGAGGCUCGAAAGCGUGGGGAGCAAACAGGAUUAGAUACCCCAGUAUAA
This 449-nucleotide ribosomal RNA is filed under the name uncultured bacterium. Its description in RNAcentral is "partial 16S ribosomal RNA". It matches the Rfam family "Bacterial small subunit ribosomal RNA", at positions 329 to 793 of the family's 1533-position model. The record is from RNAcentral.